GCCUACGGGAGGCAGCAGUGAGGAAUAUUGGACAAUGGGAGCAAUCCUGAUCCAGCCAUGCCGCGUGCAGGAAGACUGCCCUAUGGGUUGUAAACUGCUUUUAUACAGGAAGAAAAAGCCCGACGUGUCGGGUGUUGACGGUACUGUAAGAAUAAGGAUCGGCUAACUCCGUGCCAGCAGCCGCGGUAAUACGGAGGAUCCAAGCGUUAUCCGGAAUCAUUGGGUUUAAAGGGUCCGUAGGCGGGACAAUAAGUCAGUGGUGAAAGUCUGCAGCUCAACUGUAGAAUUGCCAUUGAUACUGUUGUUCUUGAGUGCUUGUGAAGUGGUUAGAAUGAGUAGUGUAGCGGUGAAAUGCAUAGAUAUUACUCAGAAUACCGAUUGCGAAGGCAGAUCACUAACAAUUCACUGACGCUGAUGGACGAAAGCGUAGGUAGCGAACAGGAUUAGAUACCCUGGUAGUCUACGCCGUAAACGAUGGUUACUASCUGUUCGGAUCAAUUGAGAUCUGAGUGGCUAAGCGAAAGUG
Molecule: ribosomal RNA, 526 nt
Filed under: uncultured Flavobacteriia bacterium
Lineage: Bacteria; Pseudomonadati; Bacteroidota; Flavobacteriia
Description: bacterial SSU rRNA
Rfam family: Bacterial small subunit ribosomal RNA
Source: RNAcentral